This 499-nucleotide ribosomal RNA is filed under the name uncultured Glomeromycotina. RNAcentral's name for it is "partial small subunit ribosomal RNA". It matches the Rfam family "Eukaryotic small subunit ribosomal RNA", at positions 591 to 1092 of the family's 1831-position model. The record is from RNAcentral. Lineage: Eukaryota; Fungi; Glomeromycota.
CCAAUAGCGUAUAUUAAAGUUGUUGCAGUUAAAAAGCUCGUAGUUGAAUUUCGAGAUCAAUAUGUUGGUCGUGCCUCGGUAUGUACUUGCAUCAUUGAUUUCUCCCUUCUGAUGAACCAUGAUGCCAUUAAUUUGGUGUUGUGGGGAAUCAGGACUGUUACUUUGAAAAAAUUAGAGUGUUUAAAGCAGGCUCACGCUUGAAUACAUUAGCAUGGAAUAAUGAAGUAGGACGUUUGAUUCUAUUUUGUUGGUUUCUAGGAUCGACGUAAUGAUUAAUAGGGAUAGUUGGGGGCAUUAGUAUUCAAUUGUCAGAGGUGAAAUUCUUGGAUUUAUUGAAGACUAACUACUGCGAAAGCAUUUGCCAAGGAUGUUUUCAUUAAUCAAGAACGAAAGUUAGGGGAUCGAAGACGAUCAGAUACCGUCGUAGUCUUAACCAUAAACUAUGCCGACUAGGGAUCGGAUGAUGUUAAUUUUUUAAUGACUCAUUCGGCGCCUUACG